This 443-nucleotide ribosomal RNA is filed under the name uncultured bacterium. RNAcentral describes it as "partial 16S ribosomal RNA". It matches the Rfam family "Bacterial small subunit ribosomal RNA", at positions 338 to 795 of the family's 1533-position model. The record is from RNAcentral.
CCUACGGGAGGCAGCAGUGGGGAAUAUUGGGCAAUGGGCGCAAGCCUGACCCAGCAACGCCGCGUGAAGGAAGAAGGCUUUCGGGUUGUAAACUUCUUUCCUCAGGGACGAUGAAAGUGGCGGUACCUGAGGAAUAAGCCACGACUAACUACGUGCCAGCAGCCGCGGUACUACGUAGGUGGCAAGCGUUAUGCGGAUGUAUUGGGUGUAAAGGGGGCGUAGGCGGGUGCGCAAGUCAGAUGUGAAAUCUCAGGGCUCAACCCUGAGACUGCAUUUGAUACUGUGUUUCUUGAGUGGUGGAGAGGCAAUCGGAAUUCCGUGUGUAGCGGUGAAAUGCGUAGAUAUACGGAGGAACACCAGUGGCGAAGGCGGAUUGCUGGACAGUAACUGACGCUGAGGCGCGAAAGCGUGGGGAGCAAACAGGAUUAGAUACCCCUGUAGUC